GGAAAGAAGAGCACUGCACUCGGACUCAUCUUCUUCAACAUCAGCAGAGCCAUCUUUGAUUGUGCGAGAGAUCAGGCCCCCCACUUAGUGUAUUUGACAAGCUGAGUUGGACACUCUGUAUCAGUGAGUGUCAGUUUGUCAAAUACCCCAAGUGAGGUGUCACUAGUCUACAACUCAAGGUCACUCUGGGUUACUCCACGGACUGACCUGCCAACUCCACAGCAUGAGCUACACAUCAAGGAAGCUGAAAACACAGAGGCAAGUGAAGUGAGGCAAGGAAACUUUUGAGUAUCUAGACAAGGAACAAGGUUUUACAGUGGUUAAAAUGGUAAUGGUGAAGACAGACAGAAGCUUGUCACUGUGUCAUCUACACAACUGUGCAACAUUUAGUAAGUCCUGUGCAAAUUACUCUUACACGUUCAGUUUAUUCAACAAGACGGCUUCACAGAGAUGGUAACAUGUUCGUAGGUUAAUGUGGUUAUUAAAAAAAAAAGGCUGAUGCUCUUUUUCAUUCUAGGCUUUUAGGAGGCUCAUAGGACAGACAACAAACAUGUCAGCCAAACAUGCCACAUAUCAUUAUUUUCAGAUUUCCGUCAUGCAAUAUGGCUGUAGAGAUUAAAAUAACUUCAUGAAAAAUGUUGUUCAAAACCCACAGCAAUACAGACAUGAGGUUUGAGUGUCAUGUACAUGUUGCCUGUGAUGCAGAUGAGCAAAAAUAAAAAAAAUCAUGUCUUGACUAUCUUUUUUGUGCAAGAGCAAAUCCAUGUACCGAAAAAAAAAGUCAAUACUUGAUCAGCUUCUGCUUCAACAAAGACUAAAGUGUUAAUUACCUGUUAUGAAGACAGACAUCUCUAAACUGUUUAAGUAUUUUCUUCAUUCAGUGUUUUGCUAAAUUCUUUAGUUCAGCCUUGAUGAAAGUGUCCUCUCUCUGCCAACAUGUGGAACCACAUGUCCUCUCAUUUUCACAGCAAAGCUCAGACUCGGACUUGGUCAACGUGCAGGAAAGAAGAAAACAGCCCAAUAAAAUAUAUGGCGUCCAUGUGUCCUCAGGUGCCCUCUGAAUAUUAAUGUGUGGGGAUUCAAUGUGUGAAUGUAUGAUCUUAUAAGAAUAAUAAAGGUGAAAGAGAUGCA
Toxotes jaculatrix (banded archerfish) is the source of this 1131-nucleotide long non-coding RNA. RefSeq lists it as uncharacterized. Lineage: Eukaryota; Metazoa; Chordata; Actinopteri; Toxotidae. The record is from RefSeq and is a predicted model, not a curated record. The transcript is spliced from 2 exons.